RNAcentral lists this ribosomal RNA (316 nucleotides) under uncultured bacterium. RNAcentral describes it as "bacterial SSU rRNA". It matches the Rfam family "Bacterial small subunit ribosomal RNA", at positions 597 to 911 of the family's 1533-position model. The record is from RNAcentral.
AAAUCCCGGGGCUCAACCCCGGAAGUGCUUUUGAAACUGCUUAUCUUGAGAGGGGCAGGGGCCGGCGGAAUUCCUGGUGUAGAGGUGAAAUUCGUAGAUAUCGGGAGGAACACCGGUGGCGAAGGCGGCUUCCUGGACCCAUUCUGACGCUGAGGCGCGAAAGCGUGGGGAGCAAACAGGAUUAGAUACCCUGGUAGUCCACGCCGUAAACGAUGAGCACUAGGUGUCGGGGGAAUUGACCCCUGCUGUGCCGCAGCUAACGCAUUAAGUGAUCCGCCUGGGGAGUACGGCCGCAAGACUAAAACUCAAAGGAAUU